This 156-nucleotide unclassified non-coding RNA is filed under the name soil metagenome. RNAcentral's name for it is "partial internal transcribed spacer 1". The record is from RNAcentral.
UCAUACAGCGGCUUCGUAGGCCUUUGCCUGCAUAUCUACCCAUUGUCUUUUAGCGUACCUUAUGUUUCCUCGGGCGGGUCUUGCCUGCCGAUUGGACAAUUCUAAAACCAUUUUGCUAGUUGCAAUCAGCGUCUAGAAAACAAAAUUAAUUAGUUA